RNAcentral lists this transfer RNA (90 nucleotides) under Burkholderiaceae bacterium. RNAcentral describes it as "tRNA-Ser". It matches the Rfam family "tRNA". Rfam says of the family: Transfer RNA (tRNA) molecules are approximately 80 nucleotides in length. The record is from RNAcentral. Lineage: Bacteria; Pseudomonadati; Pseudomonadota; Betaproteobacteria; Burkholderiales; Burkholderiaceae.
GGAAGUGUGGCAGAGUGGUCGAUUGCACCGGUCUUGAAAACCGGCGAUGUCGCAAGGCAUCCGUGAGUUCGAAUCUCACCGCUUCCGCCA